ACGGAGUAGUGAAAGUACCGCGUACUGACGGAAUAGUACGUUGAAGAGUGUAGGUAUUAGACUUAUAGGAAAAUCCGUAAGACUAGCUGAACUUGAUAGUACCAAGAGCCUUCGGGCAAUUGGAUAAUGACCCUAAUCAGACUUCCAAGAAAAACCUCUAAGCUUCAGAUAUAUGCUACUCGUACCGCAAACCGACACAGGUAGACGGGUUGAGAAUACUAAGGCGCGCGAGUGAGUCGCGGUUAAGGAACUCGGCAAAAUAGCCCCGUAACUUCGGGAGAAGGGGUGUCAUGUCGAUGACAUGAUCGCAGUGAACAGACCCAGGCGACUGUUUAACAAAAACACAGCACAAUGCUAACUCGUAAAGAGGAUGUAUAUUGUGUGACACCUGCCCGGUGCUGGAAGGUUAAAAGG
RNAcentral lists this ribosomal RNA (414 nucleotides) under Gambierdiscus australes. RNAcentral describes it as "partial Bacterial large subunit ribosomal RNA". It matches the Rfam family "Bacterial large subunit ribosomal RNA", at positions 1472 to 1884 of the family's 2925-position model. Lineage: Eukaryota; Dinophyceae; Gonyaulacales; Pyrocystaceae. The record is from RNAcentral.